CAGAUUUUGAGGAAACUCUGAAAACAUCGACAACAGGCCCACAAUCCUCCACGUCUUCUGCCACACUGACAACCUCAACCCUAACCUCAAGACCUACCACACCUUCGGUCAGAUCAACACCUCUGGUCAGAUCAACACUUGUGGUUAGAUCAACAAUCAAGCCAACCAGAAAGCCAAUUAUUACUGAAUCCCCUGAGCAGACACCCUUAACCUCUGCUCCCCUGGUCCAGACAACACCUUCAACUAGGAUUCCCUCCUCCACCCCCUCUUCCCUUACCCCUUCCUCCACCCAUAUUGCUGCUCCUCUUCCUCACCUUAUCACCUCAAAACCAACUAUAGUCAGUUUUGCCUUUUCUACUUCCGGUCAUGCCUCCAACAUCUCUCUUUCCUCCGAGUCAGUGCUGUCACAGUCUGUGAGCUCUGCAAAACCUUCUCUAGGGGUUGUACCUACUGCACUUGUUGUUGUCAGCAUCAUUAUCCUGCUCCUGACAGCAGCUGGUGCUGUGUGGUACUACACAUUGAAAAGGAAUAUUUUCACCUUUUGGUCUCAGGGGCAGCAGAGAGACGACAUAGAGACGGAGAUGUGGAAGCACACCAACAGUGAGAUGAAUCUACACAGCCAGGGUGGAGCAGAGGAAGACGAUGAAGAAGAAGAAUCAUACAGGAAGUACUCCAGUGAUAUCACGCUGUGUGUGCAUCCAGGUAUCAAAGCAAACUUUUCAGAGUAGCCUCAGGACAUUUCUUUAGGUGCUUUGUGAAAGUUAAUAGAAUGAUAAACAGCACUGAUAUAAGCCAGUCUAUGUCUGAAAGUGUUAGAAAUGCUCUGAUUGGUAUAUUAUCAAAGUAAUUGUAAAUAUGCACAUGGUGUUCCUUCUUGUUCAAUUAUGAUGUUGUUGCACUGCAGGAUGAAUUUGGAAUCUAUCAGAUGCCUCCCUGAUAGGUUUGUGUGAUCUAAAGAUCUAAAGUGCACAAAUCUUUUGAACAUUAUUGUACUUAUUGUGUCCUUUUUCUAUAAACAUAGUUAUUGAGAUUGAAAAGCUGCAGCUAUCCAGUGUUUGCGUGCAUAAGCAUAUGAAUUUCCAC
This is a long non-coding RNA of Amphiprion ocellaris (clown anemonefish), 1083 nucleotides long. Lineage: Eukaryota; Metazoa; Chordata; Actinopteri; Pomacentridae. The record is from Ensembl.